This 66-nucleotide transfer RNA is filed under the name Polylabris halichoeres. RNAcentral describes it as "tRNA-Gln". Lineage: Eukaryota; Metazoa; Platyhelminthes; Monogenea; Mazocraeidea; Microcotylidae. RNAcentral also lists the same sequence under 1 other name. The record is from RNAcentral.
AAUAAUAUGGUGUAAAUACUAAGCACUAUACUUUUUGGUAGUAUAAGAGAAUGAUUUCUAUUAUUU